RNAcentral lists this ribosomal RNA (261 nucleotides) under uncultured bacterium. RNAcentral's name for it is "partial 16S ribosomal RNA". It matches the Rfam family "Bacterial small subunit ribosomal RNA", at positions 515 to 775 of the family's 1533-position model. The record is from RNAcentral.
CCGCGGUAAGUCGUAGGGGGCGAGCGUUGUCCGGAAUUACUGGGCGUAAAGAGCACGUAGGCGGGAACUUAAGUCAGGUGUGAAAGACCGGGGCUCAACCUCGGGGGUGCACUUGAAACUGGGUUUCUUGAGGGCAGGAGAGGAAAGUAGAAUUCCUGGUGUAGCGGUGAAAUGCGUAGAAAUCAGGAGGAAUACCAGUGGCGAAGGCGACUUUCUGGACUGACCCUGACGCUGAGGUGCGAAAGCGUGGGUAGCAAACAG